GACGAACGCUGGCGGCGUGCCUAAUACAUGCGAGUAGAACGCUGAAGGAGGAGCUUGCUUCUCCGGAUGAGUUGCGAACGGGUGAGUAACGCGUAGGUAACCUGCCUGGUAGCGGGGGAUAACUAUUGGAAACGAUAGCUAAUACCGCAUAAGAGUAGAUGUUGCAUGACAUUUGCUUAAAAGGUGCAAUUGCAUCACUACCAGAUGGACCUGCGUUGUAUUAGCUAGUUGGUGAGGUAACGGCUCACCAAGGCGACGAUACAUAGCCGACCUGAGAGGGUGAUCGGCCACACUGGGACUGAGACACGGCCCAGACUCCUACGGGAGGCAGCAGUAGGGAAUCUUCGGCAAUGGACGGAAGUCUGACCGAGCAACGCCGCGUGAGUGAAGAAGGGUUUCGGAUCGUAAAGCUCUGUUGUAAGAGAAGAACGAGUGUGAGAGUGGAAGGUUCACACUGUGACGGUAUCUUACCAGAAAGGGACGGCUAACUACGUG
This 495-nucleotide ribosomal RNA is filed under the name uncultured bacterium. Its description in RNAcentral is "partial 16S ribosomal RNA". It matches the Rfam family "Bacterial small subunit ribosomal RNA", at positions 28 to 507 of the family's 1533-position model. The record is from RNAcentral.